Thamnophis sirtalis is the source of this 335-nucleotide non-coding RNA. Lineage: Eukaryota; Metazoa; Chordata; Lepidosauria; Squamata; Natricidae. The record is from RefSeq and is a predicted model, not a curated record.
CGGUCCAAGACGGGCAUCCAACGCCCUGUCGCAACCUCGCCGCCGUCCCCGUAGAGCCGCAGCGGCGGGAGCGAGUGCCAGAGCGCUGCGGUCUCCGGAGCCCCUCCCGAGCGAAAGAGAAAAAAGGACUUCUCUCCUUGAAGCAGCGUUCGUGGGAGAGAGCAUCGGGCGGCGGCAGAACUGGGCUGCCGGCUGCAGGGAGCUUUACCGCGGGCCUUCUUUCUUCCAGCCCAAUUUAGCAGGCGCCGCCAUCGCCAAUGACAAGCCAAGGAAGCAGCAGCAGUCGGAGCAGCAGUGAGCAGGCCGGAGCAAGCUGUCCCUGCUCUUGGCUGCUG